RNAcentral lists this ribosomal RNA (492 nucleotides) under uncultured bacterium. RNAcentral's name for it is "partial 16S ribosomal RNA". It matches the Rfam family "Bacterial small subunit ribosomal RNA", at positions 29 to 507 of the family's 1533-position model. The record is from RNAcentral.
AGUGAACGCUGGCGGUAGGCCUAACACAUGCAAGUCGAACGGCAGCACAGUAAGAGCUUGCUCUUACGGGUGGCGAGUGGCGGACGGGUGAGGAAUACAUCGGAAUCUACUUUUUCGUGGGGGAUAACGUAGGGAAACUUACGCUAAUACCUCAUACUACCUACGGGUGAAAGCAGGAGAUCUUCGGACCUUGCGCGAUUGAAUGAGCCGAUGUCGGAUUAGCUAGUUGGCGGGGUAAAGGCCCACCAAGGCGACGAUCCGUAGCUGGUCUGAGAGGAUGAUAAGCCACACUGGAACUGAGACACGGUCCAGACUCCUACGGGAGGCAGCAGUGGGGAAUAUUGGGCAAUGGGCGCAAGCCUGAUCCAGCCAUACCGCGUGGGUGAAGAAGGCCUUCGGGUUGUAAAGCCCUUUUGUUGGGAAAGAAAAGAAGCAGGUUAAUACCCCGCUGUUCUGACGGUACCCAAAGAAUAAGCACCGGCUAACUUCGUG